AGCAAUGCCAUAUUAACAGAGCUUAACUAUAUUAAAACACAUCCUAAAUAUAAACGAUAUAUCAUAUUUUCUGACUCGCUCUCUUAGCUUCAGGCUAUACAAAAUCUCUCUUGCAAGCAUCCGCUUUUAAUCGAUAUGAUUGAAUUAUAUAUUGAUCUUGCUAUUGGCCAAUACGACAUCGUCUUUUGUUGUAGUGAUGAAAUGAAAC
This is a long non-coding RNA of Haliotis rubra (blacklip abalone), 208 nucleotides long. RefSeq lists it as uncharacterized. Lineage: Eukaryota; Metazoa; Mollusca; Gastropoda; Lepetellida; Haliotidae. The record is from RefSeq and is a predicted model, not a curated record. The transcript has 3 exons.